GCUCUGUCUCUGUGUCUCCCUCCCUCUUCCCCCUCCCUCUCUUGCUCUCUCUCUCCCUUCCCGUCUCUGUGGUUUGUAAGGUAGGUUGCAGUGUGUGUAUAUACACAACAUCAAGAGCAGGAAAAUGGACUCAUUAGGGAGGCAGGCAGUCAUUACCACUCACACUGUACUUCCAGGGAGACACCGAUUAUGAGAAGAGAAACUCAGUGCUGAGGAACAAGAUUCACAGAAAAAAAUUGUUAAGAAUUGUUCUUAACUGUUACAGACUUUGGAGAGUGAAGGUAGACUGAAUUAUCUGUUCCUUUGAGGAUUGUGACUAUCAAAGAAAGAAGGCAGCUUAGAAGACUGCCUGAAGUUACAUUUGGAGGCUGAAAUCACUGCACCUUAAAAACAAAAAAGAUUGAGCUUUACUGCAUUCCUGUAAGUAAAAACUUCCUCUACCUUUCUCCAUGUGUAUGUCACAAGCCCCUAAAUGAUAAAAGCAGUAGUAAUAGUAACCUGACUUAGGUAAACAUCUGAGUGUCCUGGAUUGGAAGUAUAAGUUUAAAUGAUUUCCUCUCUUUAAAAAAAGUUUAUUGGGCUAAUUCAAUGUAUCUUUUUAUCAAACCCAAAUUUUAAUCUUUAUUGUUGGCUGUUUUGAAUUGCAUUAAGGAUACUAUAUAGUUCAGCACAGACAUACAUUUCUCUUCAUCCCAUCAUUGAAGAUUCCUACAUUUUGGUUUGAAGAUAAUAGAUGGCCCCAAUUUCUGAUGACAUCAAAGUAGAAUCCAUUUUUCCUUUGUGAUGUCAUUAGAAAUCAUUAUCCUUUAUUGCAGAGGAAAUGGAAAGAAACAGAAAGUUCUUGAUGACAUCACAAUAGAAUUGUGCUGUCUUGAGGACUUUGGACAGAACUAAGCAAGAUGCAUAAUUCCCUUGUGUGCGUGUGUUCCCCGUUCUGCUAUGAAGCAGUCAAAAUAGCACAUCUUAUGUCUUCCUGUGAGCUACAAGGCUGUCUCUCAGAGCCCCAUUGUUCCAUAAAUGCAUGUCAGAGUCUACCGCAGUCUGGCCUACCCUUAUUUAGCUGCUGUUUUGUCAAUGUACUUGGAAGAACAAUUAACAUUUGGGAUUUCAAUGUCUGAAUAACAGGCAGUGAAUAGAACCCUAGCAUAUAAAAGAUUCAGAUGCCCAGAGUAAAAGAGAGAGAGAGAGGAGAGAGAGAGAG
Molecule: long non-coding RNA, 1201 nt
Organism: Gracilinanus agilis (Agile Gracile Mouse Opossum)
Lineage: Eukaryota; Metazoa; Chordata; Mammalia; Didelphimorphia; Didelphidae
Exons: 4
Source: RefSeq, a predicted model, not a curated record